RNAcentral lists this ribosomal RNA (495 nucleotides) under uncultured bacterium. RNAcentral's name for it is "partial 16S ribosomal RNA". It matches the Rfam family "Bacterial small subunit ribosomal RNA", at positions 28 to 507 of the family's 1533-position model. The record is from RNAcentral.
GAUGAACGCUGGCGGCGUGCCUAAUACAUGCAAGUAGAACGCUGAAGGAGGAGCUUGCUCUUCUGGAUGAGUUGCGAACGGGUGAGUAACGCGUAGGUAACCUGCCUGGUAGCGGGGGAUAACUAUUGGAAACGAUAGCUAAUACCGCAUGACAACAGUUAUUGCAUGAUAACUGUUUAAAAGGGGCAACUGCUCCACUACCAGAUGGACCUGCGUUGUAUUAGCUAGUUGGUGAGGUAACGGCUCACCAAGGCGACGAUACAUAGCCGACCUGAGAGGGUGAUCGGCCGCACUGGGACUGAGACACGGCCCAGACUCCUACGGGAGGCAGCAGUAGGGAAUCUUCGGCAAUGGACGGAAGUCUGACCGAGCAACGCCGCGUGAGUGAAGAAGGUUUUCGGAUCGUAAAGCUCUGUUGUAAGAGAAGAACGAGUGUGAGAGUGGAAAGUUCACACUGUGACGGUAUCUUACCAGAAAGGGACGGCUAACUACGUG